This 424-nucleotide ribosomal RNA is filed under the name Verrucomicrobiota bacterium. RNAcentral describes it as "Verrucomicrobia bacterium partial 16S ribosomal RNA". It matches the Rfam family "Bacterial small subunit ribosomal RNA", at positions 355 to 776 of the family's 1533-position model. The record is from RNAcentral. Lineage: Bacteria; Pseudomonadati; Verrucomicrobiota.
UGAGGAAUAUUGGUCAAUGGGCGAGAGCCUGAACCAGCCAAGUAGCGUGCAGGACGACGGCCCUAUGGGUUGUAAACUGCUUUUAUGUGGGGAUAAAGUGCGUGACGUGUCAUGCAUUGCAGGUACCACAUGAAUAAGGACCGGCUAAUUCCGUGCCAGCAGCCGCGGUAAUACGGAAGGUCCGGGCGUUAUCCGGAUUUAUUGGGUUUAAAGGGAGCGUAGGCUGUCUAUUAAGCGUGUUGUGAAAUGUAGGAGCUCAACUUCUAGAUUGUAGCGCGAACUGUCAGACUUGAGUGCGCACAACGUAGGCGGAAUUCAUGGUGUAGCGGUGAAAUGCUUAGAUAUCAUGAAGAACUCCGAUUGCGAAGGCAGCUUACGGGAGCGCAACUGACGCUGAAGCUCGAAGGUGCGGGUAUCGAACAGG